CCAGACGGCCGGAUGGCCGCCCUCCGGCAACGGGGAAACCCGCCGGGGGGAGGAAAGUCCGGGCUCCACGGAAGCACGGUGCCGGGUAACGCCCGGCGGGGGCGACCCCAGGGAAAGUGCCACAGAAAGCAAACCGCCCAUGAUCCCCGCCUCCGGGUGGGACGGCAUGGGCAAGGGUGAAAGGGUGCGGUAAGAGCGCACCGCGCCCCCGGCGACGGGGGUGGCAUGGUAAACCCCACCGGGAGCAAGACCGAAUAGGGGUGGCACGGCCGGGAAACCGGCCGAAGCGCGCUUCCGCGCAGCCGCCCGGGUGGGUCGCGUGAGGCGUCCGGCAACGGGCGUCCCAGAGGAAUGGCCAUCCCCCGGAUACCGUCCAGCCCGCUGGAUACGGUCCGGCGGACAGAACCCGGCUUACAGGCCGUCUGGCGUC
Molecule: non-coding RNA, 430 nt
Organism: Rhodospirillum centenum SW
Lineage: Bacteria; Pseudomonadati; Pseudomonadota; Alphaproteobacteria; Rhodospirillales; Rhodospirillaceae
Rfam family: Bacterial RNase P class A
About the family: Ribonuclease P (RNase P) is a ubiquitous endoribonuclease, found in archaea, bacteria and eukarya as well as chloroplasts and mitochondria. Its best characterised activity is the generation of mature 5'-ends of tRNAs by cleaving the 5'-leader elements of precursor-tRNAs. Cellular RNase Ps are ribonucleoproteins.
Source: Rfam